This 1336-nucleotide long non-coding RNA is filed under the name Homo sapiens (human). RNAcentral describes it as "non-protein coding lnc-PSPC1-3:2". Lineage: Eukaryota; Metazoa; Chordata; Mammalia; Primates; Hominidae. The record is from RNAcentral.
UUUCCAGUCCAGGGCCGCUGAGAGUGGGGGUGGCUGGGAGCAGCGCAGCCUCCGGAGGAGGAGGCGGAGGCCGAGGACCAGGAAUCACCUUCAAGCCUAUGUCGUGAGGCUUUGGCAGAAAUUAAGAAGGAAAUAUCUCCAUUGUUCAUUGGCAUGGAAAAAUGUUCAGUGGGAGGAUUAGAGUUGACUGAACAGACUCCUGCUUUAUUAGGGAAUAUGGCCAUGGCAACUAGUCUCAUGGACAUAGGGGAUUCAUUUGGUCAUCCAGCUUGUCCUUUAGUCAGUAGAUCUAGGAACUCACCAGUGGAAGAUGAUGAUGAUGAUGAUGAUGUUGUGUUUAUUGAAUCUAUACAACCUCCUUCAAUUUCUGCUCCAGCAAUAGCUGAUCAAAGAAACUUCAUAUUUGCAUCAUCAAAAAAUGAAAAGCCUCAAGGAAAUUAUUCUGUAAUUCCUCCUUCUUCAAGAGAUUUGGCAUCUCAGAAAGGAAAUAUAAGUGAGACAAUUGUUAUUGAUGAUGAAGAGGACAUAGAAACAAAUGGAGGAGCAGAGAAAAAGUCUUCCUGUUUUAUCGAAUGGGGACUUCCUGGAACUAAAAACAAAACCAACGAUUUGGAUUUCUCCACUUCCAGUCUUUCAAGAAGUAAGGUAAAUGCAGGAAUGGGUAAUAGUGGUAUCACUACAGAAUUGACUCUGAAAUACAUUAUUACUAAUGUUACAACCUUAGAAACAGGUAUAAGCUCUGUGAAUGCUGGGCAAGAUGUGAACAUAAUUAUUACAUAUAAAACAUCACUAUAGAAUACCAACUUGGGAGAUGUCGCUAAAGGACUUCAGUCAAGUAAUUUUGGUGUUAAUAUACAAACGUACACCCCAUCUUUAACUCCACAGACCAAGACUGGAGUAAGACCUUUUAACCCUGGUAGAAUGAAUGUGGCAGGAGACUUAUUUCAGAAUGGAGAAUUUGCAACUCAUCAUAGUCCUGAGAUGCAUCUACAAAGAAGGCUAAUGUCAUUCUUCCAGUAGAAUCAAGCAAAUCCUUCCAAGAAUUUUAUAGUACAUCUUGUUUGUCUCCCUGUGAAAACAACUGGAAUCUUAAAAAAGGAGUUUUUAAUAAGUCAAGAUGUACAAUUUGUAGUAAAUUAGCAGAGGUCUGGAUUUUUAUACCUAAGUUGUUGUUUAGGCUAACAGUGAUAAUUUUAACUUUUAAGUGCUAUUAUGUACUCUUUCAUCUACAUAAUGCACGUGUUCUGGAUGUAUAACAUGAAGCUGAAAGGAAGAAUAAGGAUAUGUUAGAACUAUCUUAUGGGAUAUUUUAUAAAUAAAAUUCCAUUUGCAUAGC